RNAcentral lists this ribosomal RNA (368 nucleotides) under uncultured organism. Its description in RNAcentral is "bacterial SSU rRNA". It matches the Rfam family "Bacterial small subunit ribosomal RNA", at positions 526 to 896 of the family's 1533-position model. The record is from RNAcentral.
CGGAGGGUGCAAGCGUUAUCCGGAUUCACUGGGUUUAAAGGGUGCAUAGGCGGGCAGGUAAGUCCGUGGUGAAAUCUCUGAGCUUAACUCAGAAACUGCCAUGGAUACUAUUUGUCUUGAAUAUUGUGGAGGUAAGCGGAAUAUGUCAUGUAGCGGUGAAAUGCUUAGAUAUGACAUAGAACACCAAUUGCGAAGGCAGCUUACUACACAGUUAUUGACGCUGAGGCACGAAAGCGUGGGGAUCAAACAGGAUUAGAUACCCUGGUAGUCCACGCCCUAAACGAUGAUUACUCGACAUCAGCGAUACACUGUUGGUGUCUGAGCGAAAGCAUUAAGUAAUCCACCUGGGAAGUACGAUCGCAAGAUUG